RNAcentral lists this long non-coding RNA (657 nucleotides) under Struthio camelus australis. Its description in RNAcentral is "lncRNA (ENSSCUG00000004936.1)". Lineage: Eukaryota; Metazoa; Chordata; Aves; Struthioniformes; Struthionidae. The record is from RNAcentral.
GGGAGUUCGAUGAACUUGGAGGUUGCAAAGGAUGCUGGGAAUCUGGUAAACUCAGGGGCUGCAAAGGACUCUGGGAGUUUGGGCAGUAGCGGCACUGCAAAGGAUGCUGGGAGUUCGGCCAACAUCACUGCUGCAAAGGAUGCUGGGAGUCUGGCUAAUAGCAUCACUGCAAAGCAUGCUGGGAGCGUGGCCAAUGGUAUCGCUGCAAAGGACGCUGGGAGUUCGGUCAGUUCGGGGGCUGCAAAGGAUGCUGGGAGCGCGGCCAACCCGGAGGCUGCAAAGGCCUCUGGGAGUUCGGCUAACGGCAGCGCUGCAAAGGAUGCUGGGAGUUCGGCCAAGCUAGAGGCUGCAAAGGACUCUGGGAGUUCGGCCAACGCCGGGGGCGCGGGGGCCCCGGGGUGGGGACAGGGACAGGGACAAGAUGAGGGCAGGAUGGGGACAGGGACAGGAUGGGGAUGGGGACAGGGAUGGGGACAGGAUGGGGGUGGGGACAGGGACAGGGACAAGAUGAGGGCAGGAUGGGGACAGGGACAGGAUGGGGAUGGGGACAGGGAUGGGGACAGGAUGGGGGUGGGGACAGGGACAGGGACAAGAUGAGGGCAGGAUGGGGACAGGGACAGGAUGGGGAUGGGGACAGGGAUGGGGACAGGAUGGGGG